AUUGAACGCUGGCGGAAUGCUUUACACAUGCAAGUCGAACGGCAGCACGGGGGCAACCCUGGUGGCGAGUGGCGAACGGGUGAGUAAUACAUCGGAACGUGCCCGGUCGUGGGGGAUAACGUAGCGAAAGUUACGCUAAUACCGCAUACGCUCUGAGGAUGAAAGCGGGGGACCUUCGGGCCUCGCGCGAUCGGAGCGGCCGAUGUCAGAUUAGGUAGUUGGUGGGGUAAAGGCCUACCAAGCCGACGAUCUGUAGCUGGUCUGAGAGGACGACCAGCCACGCUGGGACUGAGACACGGCCCAGACUCCUACGGGAGGCAGCAGUGGGGAAUUUUGGACAAUGGGCGCAAGCCUGAUCCAGCCAUUCCGCGUGCAGGACGAAGGCCUUCGGGUUGUAAACUGCUUUUGUAUGGAACGAAAAGGCUCUGGCUAAUACCUGGGGCUCAUGACGGUACCGUAAGAAUAAGCACCGGCUAACUACGUG
RNAcentral lists this ribosomal RNA (484 nucleotides) under uncultured bacterium. Its description in RNAcentral is "partial 16S ribosomal RNA". It matches the Rfam family "Bacterial small subunit ribosomal RNA", at positions 30 to 507 of the family's 1533-position model. The record is from RNAcentral.